ACAAAAUAUUAGAUGGACUAAGUGAGUUUUUGUUAUCUGUAAAUGAUAAAUCUGGAGUUGACGGAGGAAUGAAAAACGACUGAGGUGUUUUCAAAAUAGAACUAGGAGUCUGUGAUGAUUUGAUAGCAGAAACUUCUUCUUCAUGGUCUACAGCCACAAAUGCAUCGAUUGCGUACUUCAAAGGAUUAGCAAUUGCUUCUUCCCGAGCUUUAGCCAUUCCUUCCUCUUUGGCUAUAGUACCUGGAGAAACACUAGAAGGUAUUUCAUCUACACUUGACAUUAUAACAUCAGGAGUAUUUACGACUGAAUCCUUAGGUUUUUGAACUG
This is a non-coding RNA of Schizosaccharomyces pombe (fission yeast), 327 nucleotides long. NCBI's taxonomy places the organism in Eukaryota, Fungi, Ascomycota, Schizosaccharomycetes, Schizosaccharomycetales, Schizosaccharomycetaceae. The record is from the annotation of a GenBank genome assembly.